GAUGAACGCUGGCGGCGUGCCUAAUACAUGCAAGUCGAACGGAGAUGCAGUAGCAAUACGGCAUCUGAGUGGCGAACGGGUGAGUAACGCGUUGGUGACCUACCCCGAAGAGAGGGGAUAACAGUUCGAAAGGACUGCUAAUACCCCAUGUGGUCAUAGAGGUUAGAGGCUUUAUGACUGAAGGCGAAAGCCGCUUCGGGAUGAGCCCUGCGUCCCAUCAGCUAGUUGGUAGGGUAAAGGCCUACCAAGGCGUAGACGGGUAGGGGACCUGAGAGGGUGGCCCCCCA
Molecule: ribosomal RNA, 287 nt
Filed under: uncultured Pseudomonadota bacterium
Lineage: Bacteria; Pseudomonadati; Pseudomonadota
Description: uncultured proteobacterium partial 16S ribosomal RNA
Rfam family: Bacterial small subunit ribosomal RNA
Source: RNAcentral